RNAcentral lists this small RNA (396 nucleotides) under Vigna angularis var. angularis. RNAcentral describes it as "Non-protein coding transcript". The record is from RNAcentral. Lineage: Eukaryota; Viridiplantae; Streptophyta; Magnoliopsida; Fabales; Fabaceae.
GUCAAAACCAUGAUCUGAUUCAAGUCUGGGAGCAUUUUCGCUCCAGAGCGUUGGGUGCAGGAUAAUGGCGUUAGGCGCUACUUUGACAGUGGUCUCUGACUUGGUUCUCGUUAGGCGAGCCUGUACUUGCAUAAUGAAACCAAAGUCAAUAAGAUCAUCGAUUUUGUGUCGUUGGGCAACCAGUUUCUAAAAAUUGAUCCAGAGGUGUUCCAAGGGUCCUAACAUUGGGUGCCAAUUUUGCUUGUUGGGUGUCAAGCCCGUGGAAGGCCAAUGUUGGGUGCACCUCUAAUAUCGUCAUACACCUUAUGUUUUUCAUCUUUUAUUAUGUAUUUUCUCUGAUUUUAUUAUAUCAAUUGUGAUCUUUAUGUUGUAUUUGGUUUAUAAAAUGAAACAAAG